This 433-nucleotide ribosomal RNA is filed under the name uncultured bacterium. Its description in RNAcentral is "partial 16S ribosomal RNA". It matches the Rfam family "Bacterial small subunit ribosomal RNA", at positions 29 to 507 of the family's 1533-position model. The record is from RNAcentral.
AACGAACGCUGGCGGCAUGCCUAACACAUGCAAGUCGAACGAGACCUUCGGGUCUAGUGGCGCACGGGUGCGUAACGCGUGGGAACCUGCCCUUAGGUUCGGAAUAACUCCCCGAAAGGGGUGCUAAUACCGGAUAAUGUCUUCGGACCAAAGAUUUAUCGCCUUUGGAUGGGCCCGCGUUGGAUUAGCUAGUUGGUAGGGUAAAAGCCUACCAAGGCGACGAUCCAUAGCUGGUCUGAGAGGAUGAUCAGCCACACUGGGACUGAGACACGGCCCAGACUCCUACGGGAGGCAGCAGUGGGGAAUAUUGGACAAUGGGCGAAGGCAUGAUCCAGCAAUGCCGCGUGAGUGAUGAAGGCCUUAGGGUUGUAAAGCUCUUUUACCCGGGAUGAUAAUGACAGUACCGGGAGAAUAAGCUCCGGCUAACUCCGUG